Molecule: ribosomal RNA, 484 nt
Filed under: uncultured bacterium
Lineage: Bacteria
Description: partial 16S ribosomal RNA
Rfam family: Bacterial small subunit ribosomal RNA
Source: RNAcentral
AUUGAACGCUGGCGGAAUGCCUUACACAUGCAAGUCGAGCGGCAGCACGGGGGCAACCCUGGUGGCGAGCGGCGAACGGGUGAGUAAUACAUCGGAACAUGCCCAGUCGUGGGGGAUAACACUUCGAAAGAAGUGCUAAUACCGCAUACGUCCUGAGGGGGAAAGCGGGGGAUCGCAAGACCUCGCGCGAUUGGAGUGGCCGAUGUCAGAUUAGCUAGUUGGUGGGGUAAAGGCCUACCAAGGCAACGAUCUGUAGCUGGUCUGAGAGGAUGAUCAGCCACACUGGGACUGAGACACGGCCCAGACUCCUACGGGAGGCAGCAGUGGGGAAUUUUGGACAAUGGGGGCAACCCUGAUCCAGCCAUUCCGCGUGAGUGAAGAAGGCCUUCGGGUUGUAAAGCUCUUUAGGCAGGAACGAAACGGUGAGCUCUAACAUAGCUUGCUAAUGACGGUACCUGAAGAAGAAGCACCGGCUAACUACGUG